This 103-nucleotide ribosomal RNA is filed under the name Salimicrobium humidisoli. Its description in RNAcentral is "Salimicrobium sp. WN024 partial 16S ribosomal RNA". It matches the Rfam family "Bacterial small subunit ribosomal RNA", at positions 1439 to 1533 of the family's 1533-position model. Lineage: Bacteria; Bacillati; Bacillota; Bacilli; Caryophanales; Bacillaceae. The record is from RNAcentral.
CUUUACAGGAGCCAGCCGUCGAAGGUGGGGCCAAUGAUUGGGGUGAAGUCGUAACAAGGUAGCCGUAUCGGAAGGUGCGGCUGGAUCACCUCCUUUCUAAGGA